Molecule: ribosomal RNA, 253 nt
Filed under: uncultured bacterium
Lineage: Bacteria
Description: partial 16S ribosomal RNA
Rfam family: Bacterial small subunit ribosomal RNA
Source: RNAcentral
UACAGAGGUCUCAAGCGUUGUUCGGAUUUAUUGGGCGUAAAGAGCGUGUAGGCGGCCGUGUAGGUCCGUUGUGAAAACUCGAGGCUCAACCUCGAGACGUCGAUGGAAACCACACGGCUAGAGUCCGGAAGAGGAGAGUGGAAUUCCUGGUGUAGCGGUGAAAUGCGCAGAUAUCAGGAAGAACACCUAUGGCGAAGGCAGCUCUCUGGGACGGUACUGACGCUGAGACGCGAAAGCGUGGGGAGCGAACAGG